CAGCAGAAACACAGACUUUAAUAUUCCAAUAAAUUAUUUAUUAUUUUCUGUCAGACUUUUUUGAUCAUCUAAUAAAUUGGAGCUCUUCAUGACUCGGCAUCUGCUGCAGAAACAUUCAUGAUGUUCCUCAAACCCUAAUCAGUUCUAUUUACUGUGAUCAGAACCUGACGUACAGGUGAGAACCUACAGGACCAAGAACCCACACCUGCUGAGGGAAUCCUCCUCUGUAGAUCAUCUGAGGAUCUCCUUCUGCUGCCACUGGGUCCUCUGGAAUGUUUAGUGAGUCUUAGAUGUUCCUGGACAGAUCUUCUCCUUGCAGGCAUCCAGAGCCAGCUGAUCUACAGGAACCUACAGAGACCCAGAUCCAUGUGGAUCCACAGGAGCUAAAGAAAGCUGAACCUUUCCAGUAAAAUGCUGAGACCACUUAUAGACCGUGAUGAGGAGGUUUCAGUCAGAACUUUGUGAUGUAUUUUCAGAUCAACCUUUGAGGACCAUCAGGACAGUGAAGUUUUGGUGAGAUGCUGGUGAAACCUGAAGAAAGUUAGAAAUGCAGCAGGUCUGUUUCAUUUUCUAUGAAUAAAGAAAAGGGACCAAUCCCAAAAUAAUCACAGUAUCUUAAAAAUGUAAAUGAACACCAGCCAUCAGACCUGUUGGUCCAUCUGAAGACCAUCACAGUGGAAGAGUCCAGUUAGACCCAGACUACCUGGGAUCAGCUCACAGGAACAGACUGGAGCUUCAAAAGGAGAAACCACUCACCUGUGCCAGCAGUCUAAUUGGUGCACCUGUAAGCCCCUCCCACCUUUCUAAAGUCCUGCAACUCUGAGGAACCAGAACAUGAUGAAGAAGGAGAGAACUCAGAUGUCUUCCAUCAGCAAGAACAAUGGAAACCAGAAAAAAAAUCUUUGAUUUUUUUUUUUUUUU
Long non-coding RNA from Acanthochromis polyacanthus (spiny chromis), 921 nucleotides. RefSeq lists it as uncharacterized. The transcript has 2 exons. NCBI's taxonomy places the organism in Eukaryota, Metazoa, Chordata, Actinopteri, Pomacentridae. The record is from RefSeq and is a predicted model, not a curated record.